This 432-nucleotide ribosomal RNA is filed under the name uncultured bacterium. RNAcentral describes it as "partial 16S ribosomal RNA". It matches the Rfam family "Bacterial small subunit ribosomal RNA", at positions 29 to 506 of the family's 1533-position model. The record is from RNAcentral.
AACGAACGCUGGCGGCAUGCCUAACACAUGCAAGUCGAACGAGACCUUCGGGUCUAGUGGCGCACGGGUGCGUAACGCGUGGGAACCUGCCCUUAGGUUCGGAAUAACUCCCCGAAAGGGGUGCUAAUACCGGAUCAUGUCUUCUGCCCAAAGAUUUAUCGCCUUUGGUUGGGCCCGCGUUGGAUUAGCUAGUUGGUAGGGUAAAAGCCUACCAAGGCGACGAUCCAUAGCUGGUCUGAGAGGAUGAUCAGCCACACUGGGACUGAGACACGGCCCAGACUCCUACGGGAGGCAGCAGGGGGGAAUAUUGGACAAUGGGCGAAAGCCUGAUCCAGCAAGGCCGCGUGAGUGAUGAAGGCCUUAGGGUUGUAAAGCUCUUUUACCCGGGAUGAUAAUGACAGUACCGGGAGAAUAAGCUCCGGCUAACUCCGU